AGUGACGGUACCUGACUAAGAAGCCCCGGCUAACUACGUGCCAGCAGCCGCGGUAAUACGUAGGGGGCAAGCGUUAUCCGGAAUGAUUGGGCGUAAAGGGUGCGUAGGUGGCACGAUAAGUCUGGAGUAAAAGGGAGCGGCUCAACCGCUGUUGGCUCUGGAAACUGUCGAGCUAGAGAGCAGGAGAGGGCGAUGGAAUUCCAUGUGUAGCGGUAAAAUGCGUAGAUAUAUGGAGGAACACCGGUGGCGAAGGCGGUCGCCUGGCCUGCAACUGACACUGAAGCACGAAAGCGUGGGGAGCAAAUAGGAUUAGAUACCCUAGUAGUCCACGCCGUAAACGAUGAGGACUAAGUGUUGGGGGAACUCAGUGCUGCAGUUAACGCAAUAAGUCCUCCGCCUGGGGAGUAUGCACGCAAGUGUGAAACUCAAAGGAAUUGACGGGGGCCCGCACAAGCGGUGGAGUAUGUGGUUUAAUUCGAAGCAACGCGAAGAACCUUACCAGGUCUUGACAUCCCUUGCAAGUCCAUGGAGACAUGGAGGAGGUCAUCAAGGAGACAGGUGGUGCAUGGUUGUCGUCAGCUCGUGUCGUGAGAUGUUGGGUUAAGUCCCGCAACGAGCGCAACCCUUGUCGCAUGUUACCAAUAUUGAGUUAGGGACUCAUGCGAGACUGCCGGUGACAAACCGGAGGAAGGUGGGGAUGACGUCAAAUCAUCAUGCCCCUUAUGACCUGGGCUACACACGUACUACAAUGGCGGCUACAAAGAGAAGCGACACCGUGAGGUGAAGCGGAUCUCAGAAAGGCCGUCCCAGUUCGGAUUGAAGUCUGCAACUCGACUUCAUGAAGUUGGAAUCGCUAGUAAUCGCGAAUCAGCAUGUCGCGGUGAAUACGUUCUCGGGCCUUGCACUCACCGCCCGUCAA
Molecule: ribosomal RNA, 919 nt
Filed under: uncultured bacterium
Lineage: Bacteria
Description: bacterial SSU rRNA
Rfam family: Bacterial small subunit ribosomal RNA
Source: RNAcentral